Molecule: ribosomal RNA, 216 nt
Filed under: uncultured eukaryote
Lineage: Eukaryota
Description: partial 18S ribosomal RNA
Rfam family: Eukaryotic small subunit ribosomal RNA
Source: RNAcentral
UGGUGGAGUGAUUUGUCUGCUUAAUUGCGUUAACGAACGAGACCUCAGCCUGCUUACUAGUUAUGCGAACCGUCUGCUUUGGGUGAAGGGGGCUCGGACAGUCGCUGCUCUAGGGCGGUGGCAUCCGGCUUCUGGAUCCUGGAUGUGUUCGUAGCAAUCAUUAACUUCUUAGAGGGACUAUUUGUAUCGAGCAAAUGGAAGUUUGAGGCAACAACA